This 2853-nucleotide long non-coding RNA is filed under the name Heterocephalus glaber (naked mole-rat). RNAcentral describes it as "lncRNA (ENSHGLG00000045607.1)". Lineage: Eukaryota; Metazoa; Chordata; Mammalia; Rodentia; Bathyergidae. The record is from RNAcentral.
CAAAGUCGGAACUAAGAUUAUCUCUUCUUUCAGUGCUACCUAGUAAGACUCACACGAUCCAUAUUUGAGGACCCUGUUAUUCUGGUUCCCAAAAGAGUUUGUGGGCCCACGGGUGCUGUCCCUCACUAGGGAGCCUUCACGCCCAGUGGCUGCUCACCGACUUCUGACAAUACAAGGGCAGAUGAAUUCACCCAGGCAAAUCGAAAGAUACAAAAUCACCAAACCCACAUUCUCAUCCUCUUCCUAGGAGUCUGUAUCUUUUCACCAAAACAUUACAGCAAUUUGACUAAGAUGAAUUUUCAGCAAUUCUGGUUCCUGUAAACGGGGUUGUGUGUGAAAGUAUAGCUCUUGCCAUGUAGCUUGGUGUGCUAAUGAUGUAUAGUGUUGUCUAGCUGGGGAGUAUUUGGGUAACACUCAUUUGCAAGGGUCACGGCAUCUGCUCUGGAUGGAGGCGCACAUUGACUGCUAAUUGCCAGCGAACUGCAUGAAAUCUCAUCUCGGAUGUCCUCUUUUCUGUGUUUUCUUUCCUUUCCUGCACGGCUACUUUGCCCGUUGUUAAUAGGACGGACUUCUAUGCACGAGGAGUCCAUGACGUCAGCUCCCACCUUCAUUUUACUGCAAGUUGUCAUGUGGUGUGGAUGGUUGCACGUUACUGUAUCUGGAGGGAAAAGUACCUGGAGAAAGAGAAGAGCCGAGUGCAAAGGCCCUGAGGAGGAUUAUUCCGACUGUGGUGGUGUUUCUGGAUUAAGAUCCUCCCUGUGGUCUGUUCUCGGACUCCAGUUUCUACUCCUCUGGCUUGUAUCUGGCAGCAGACACUACCUAUUGUGACCUUCUGAAACCAAAACCACGGAAUUAAACUCCAGACCCUGCCAAAACAGGAGUCUGAGAUGACAUUAAAGUAGGGACACGCGUGGAGUCAGCCAAACACGAGCUGCGCCUGUCCCAUGGCAUCUCUGAGACACAGAACCUGGGGCCCCCAGUGGCUGCAUGUCGGGGGUCUACCCUCAGCCUCAUGUGAACGCUGCACCAUGGUAUAGAACAUCCAAGCAGAGACUCUGUGUGCUCCGCUGGGUAACAGGAGUUGUUGCAUUGCUGGUGAGCAUGUGUCAGAGGGCUCCCCACACGACUGUUUGUCAUAGGGGACGUCUUGAUUUUGGCCUAAAAUUUCAACUUGCUGCAGAUUUACCAAGAAAAUCUGUAAGUGGGGGAAAGGGAUAGUUAUUUUUGCCUUCAUUUAUUCUUCUGUUAAACGUUAAAUCCUGCUUUGAGUAGUUCCCUGACUGUAGAGGAAUGGAGAAAGAAGGAAAGGGAAUUCACAGUGCUCUGAGCUGCUGAAAUAUGAAUAAUGGCUAAUUUUCUACAAAACUUUUGCCGGAAUAAAAUGCCUUAUGCAGAAUGACUUCUCUGCCAGAAAUAAAACACAAUUGAUGACCAAUUAAAUGGGGUAGUGAAUUGAUAGUUUGAAAAUAAUAGCUAAGAAAUUAUUAAACUAAAGAUGCUUGAGGGUGAAAUUUGAAUACGUGACAUAUUUUCUCAUAAAUGUAAGCCCUAUAAAGCUCUGAUGUAAUGUUCCUUCUUUUGGUUCACAGUACGGUUAUGCAGUGCUAGCCAGGUAUUUAAAAAGCUCUAAGAGAAGCUUGUUGGGGGGAGGGAAAGUGUUUUUCUCGUGAUAAAUGAACUUGGGUCACCAAGGGUAUUUUGCAUGAUGCUCCUGCUGCUAUUUUAACUUUUUGGUUUGUUUUUCUCUUAUUGUUGAGUGUAGUCUAUUGAAAAGUUACCCAAGUGACAUUAUUGUCAUGUAAGAAUAUGAAACUUGCAGUUAAAUGCACUUAAGUUAUCUUUAGAAAUGUCAUUAAACUACUCUGAAUAUACUGUGCAAUGUAAAUGCGGAAUGAGAGGGUUAGGUAAUGGCAAAAUGAGAAUUAAUGGAUUUUAUACAGAUUCGUGCUUCUGCCUGAAAACCCAUGUACAGAUAUUUUAAGUACAUAAAUCAGAUUUAACACAUUUAUUUUUUGAAAAGUACAUAUAUGUUCUCAGUGAAGCUACACCCUAGGUUCCCUGUUUGUUCAUUUCACAGGAGGGUGGACGAUCCCGGCUCUACUUUUUUCCUCCAUUUUCGAUGCUGUGAUCAUUUGGCCAAAAUCCCAUGACAUUUGAUGAGGGUUUUGUAACAAUCUGAACAAAUAGGAAACCUUGAAUCUCUACAAAUGCACAUGAACACUUGAUUGUGAAUAAUGACAUUUGUUUUUAUACAGCCUCAUUAGUGAAAAUGGUUAGUGUAGUAAAUCAGAUAUUUCAUUAUAGAUUAAUAUGGUAUCAAAAUAUUAUUUAUGCUUUUAAACAUUAUUUCCAGGAAAAAACAGUGUUUGAAGAAAGGGCGAAAACAAUGAAUGGGUAACUCUAGGAAAAGUGCAUAAUUUUACGAAGGCUGAAAGUAUGCAGAUAUAUUUAUGAUAAAAUGCAUUUUUCUUUAUUCAAACAUGCCAAAUUUUGGUGUGUGCAUAUGCUGGGAAAUUUCUUAUAUAUAAUUUUAACAUCAAAGUUAUUUACAUUACCCAGCAUGCUUUCAUAUCUUCUACAUAUCAAAAUCAUAGCCAAUUCUUUAGCAAUGUUGAAGAUACAUUUUUUUUUGUUUUUAGUUUUGCAUAUGUUUAUAAUCCCCUCGUACCACCACUGUAUCCCAAGUACCAUGUGUGAACACUUCCUUAAUAAGAUUUUUUUAAUUUAAAAUGGGGGAAGGGAGAAGUGGAAUCACUUUGCCAACUAUUGUUCUAAGAGUUGACAUCAGUUACCAUUUCUAAUGCAUUGUAAUUUUCUAGUCUACUCAUAACUUGUAUUGAUGUUUUAGAAAAC